UCAAGAUUGUCAGCUCCUCCCUGUUUCUCCAGCUGAAAGACCCUCAACACGAACAACAUCAGCUCCUCCCAAAGUCCUCAACUCCAUGACCCUCAAACUACAACAUCAGCUCCUCCCCGAGUCUUCAGCUGCAUGACCCUCUAUCUAAAACAUCAGCUCCUCUCCAGGUCUGCAGCUGCAAGAACCUAAAAUUAGAACAUCAGCUCCUCUCUUAGUCUGCAGCUGGAAGAUCCACUAGCUAGAACAUCAACUCCUGUCCGGGUCUCCAGCUCCAUGACCCUAAAUCUAGAACAUCAGCUCCUCCCUGAGUCUCCAACUGAAAGACCCUCAACGCGAACAACAUCAGCUCCUCCCCAAGUCUUCAGCUGCACGACACUCAAAUUAGAACAUCAGCUCCUCUCCAGGUCGGCAGCUGGGAGACCCUCAAACUAGAACAUCAGCUCCUCCCCGGGUCUGCAGGUGCACGACCCUCAAACUAGAACAUCAGCUCCUCCCCGGGUCUGCAGGUGCACGACCCUCAAUCUAGAACAUCAGCUCCUCCCCGGGUCUGCAGGUGCACGACCCUCAAUCUAGAACAUCAGCUCCUCCCCGGGUCUGCAGGUGCACGACCCUCAAACUAGAACAUCAGCUCCUCCCCGGGUCUGCAGCUGCAUGACACUCAAUCUAGAACAUCAGCUCCUCCCCAGGUCUGCAGCUGCACGACACUCAAACUAGAACAUCAGCUCCUCCCCGGGUCUGCAGCUGCACGACACUCAAACUAG
Molecule: long non-coding RNA, 761 nt
Filed under: Pan troglodytes (chimpanzee)
Lineage: Eukaryota; Metazoa; Chordata; Mammalia; Primates; Hominidae
Description: long non-coding RNA NONPTRT012307
Source: RNAcentral